GCCCCAGCGGGUAGGGGCCGUAGGCGGCGCCGAAGCCCUGCGAGCCGUACGUCGGGGCGCAGCCGGGGUGCGCGUAGGACACCCCCAGGCCGCCGUGGUGCUGGUAGGCGGCGGGCUGGCCCGGGGGGUGGUGGGUGGCGGUGGGGGCUGAUGGGCACGCCGCGGCCCACGAGGAAGCGGGUCCUCCCCGCUGCAGCUGCCGGCGCUGACGGCGCAGGGCUGGAAAGUUGUAAUCCCGUGCUCGGGGGUGGUAGGCGCGGGCGGCGCAGGCCCCCGCCUCGCCGCCGAGGACGGGGUACUCGAGGAAGGAGCUCAUCCUCGCCGCGUCCCGCUGCUGUCACGCCGCCACCGGGUCUUCAGCGGCCAGCGGGGGCCGCGCCAACUUUCCCACAUCCUCCAUGGGGCCGGGAGGAAAAUGACACGAAGAAAGAGUUUGAUUUAUGACUUUCGGAAGAAUUGCGUUCAGCCCUUCCAGCUAUAACCCACGCAUCCCAGCUCCACAGCGUGUUGCCGAGCUGGGAAGGCAGCAGCACUCCUCGCAUGGACGGUGCCUUCCCCGGUCCCCGCUCCAGCCACUCUCUCUGCGAUGUCCCCACGCUCUCCGGAAUGUCCCCACGCCCUCGGCCCUUCGUGGAAGAGCCCCGCUCGCAUCUGUUGCUCGCCCGCCGCCCCGGACUGGGCUCGGUCCCCUCCCGAGGCCCCCACCACCGCUGACCGGGGCCGCACGCACUUUGCCGGAGAUUUUCUCCAAGCCCGGCGUUGCUGCCCCAGGGUGGGGAUCCCCGAGGAAAUCUCAGCUUGGAAGUCACACCCGUCCUUUUUCGGGAGCACCCCUUCGCCCCGCAAAGAAGGGUUUAAACCGGAAUUAUCUUCCCUCAAAAGGACCGAGCGGAGGGGUUGAUUUCUUGGACCGCUCAGCACGUGAGGACUCACCAAGCGUACCCUCUGUGAGCUCUCAUAUCUUUUAAGAUUCCUGAGUCAGCUUGCUGGCUAACCACUGCAUUCUAGAAAAAUAUGAGCCCCCCCAAAAAAAGAAAAAAAAAAAAAAGUUUUCGUGUAUGUAACAGGCUAGUUUCUGCAGGAGACACCCUCCUGAAUCUGCUUCACGUUUGGUCUGUAACAGAGAAAGUGCUCGCUUAUGCUUUUGUUACAGUUCAGAAUUCCCAAGCUUCGUAUCGGCACGGAGAUAAAAUGCUGCGUUUAUACAUUAAAAGGAAGAAAUCUCCGUCAAAGCUGUGAACGGUUUUAGUUUCCUUUUUUUUUUUUUUCCCUUGUGAGAAACCCUUACAAUAAAGAAUUUGAACG
Long non-coding RNA from Cygnus olor (mute swan), 1305 nucleotides. RefSeq lists it as uncharacterized. NCBI's taxonomy places the organism in Eukaryota, Metazoa, Chordata, Aves, Anseriformes, Anatidae. The transcript is spliced from 3 exons. The record is from RefSeq and is a predicted model, not a curated record.